Molecule: ribosomal RNA, 1366 nt
Filed under: Coenobita clypeatus
Lineage: Eukaryota; Metazoa; Arthropoda; Malacostraca; Decapoda; Coenobitidae
Description: 16S ribosomal RNA
Rfam family: Archaeal large subunit ribosomal RNA (bases 585-1366)
Source: RNAcentral
UCAAUAAACUUACACUAAUCUUUAAGAACACAAACUCGAUAAGAAAACCAAUUUUAAAUUAAAUUAAACAGUAGAUUUUAUCGAAAUAAUAAAAAGUGUGAAAGCGAAAAGUAUUGUAAAAGAAAGUAGAAAUAACAUUUAAAAAUCUAAAAAAGUAAAUAUUAAAAAUUGUAUCUCGUGUAUUAUAGGAUUUCAAAAUUCAAUGUACAAACAUAUAUCCCGAAAAAAAGACAGCUAACUUUAAGACAAAGUUUUUGUGGCAACAAAAUUUUAAACUUAAUGUUAGAGGUGAUAUGCCAGUCGAGCUUUUAUAUCUGGUUUUCUAAGAAAUAAAUUCAAUUUAUGUGUUUAACUAAAUAGAUUAAACAACUAAGAAGAUAAGGGUAGAGCUUUUUCUUCAAAAAUGUUAAACUACAGAACCCACAAAUAGACAUAUUUUAAAAAUAGGCUUAACAGUAGCCACUUUUCUUAGGUUUUUCAACCAAUAUAAUAUAAUAUUCUAAAUUUUACUGGUUCUUCAUCUUAAGUAUUAGAAAAUAAAUCCCAACUUUAAUCAUUUAGCUAUUCUGAAAUCAUUAGUAAAAUUCCAAUGUUAAAUAAAAUUUCCAUUUAAUAAAUAAAAUCUAUUAAAUUACUCAAGGUUUGUUUAAGGAACUCGGCAAAUAUUAUCUCCGCCUGUUUAACAAAAACAUGUCUUUGUGAAGAUUUACACAGUCUGGCCUGCCCACUGAAUUAUUGAAGGGCCGCGGUAUUUCUGACCGUGCGAAGGUAGCAUAAUCAUUAGUCUUUUAAUUGGAGGCUCGUAUGAAAGGUCGAACGAGUGAUAGACUGUCUCAGCAAAAAAAAAUUGAACUUAACUUUAAAGUGAAAAGGCUUUAAUAUUUCAGAAAGACGACAAGACCCUAUAAAUCUUCACACCACCUUUUAUACUAAGCCAAUCUGUUUGUAUAAGGAGAAGUAUAAAAAACGUGUUUUGUUGGGGCAACAAAGAUAUAAUUAAAUAACUGUUUUAAUUUUAAAACAAAAAUUUUUGAAAAUAAAUUGAUCCUCUCUAAAGAUUAAAAGAUCAAGUUACUUUAGGGAUAACAGCGUCAUUUUUCUUGAGAGUUCCCAUCGAAAGAAAAGUUUGCGACCUCGAUGUUGAAUUAAAAUUUCUUCAUAAUGCAGCAGUUAUGAAAGAAAGUCUGUUCGACUUUUAAAAUUUUACAUGAUUUGAGUUCAGACCGGCGCGAGCCAGGUCGGUUUCUAUCUUCUAAGAAAAAAUAAACUACUUUAGUACGAAAGGAUCAAGUAGUUAAAAUAAUUUUAUUAACUCGAACACCAUUCUUCCUAAGCAACCAUGCAUUUCAAUUCAUGAAAUAAAUAA